UCCCUGGUAGCUCAGAUGGUAAAGAAUCUGCUUGCAAUGCAGGAGACCUGGGUUCGAUCCCUGGGUUGGGAA
RNAcentral lists this transfer RNA (72 nucleotides) under Ovis aries (sheep). It matches the Rfam family "tRNA". From Rfam's summary of the family: Transfer RNA (tRNA) molecules are approximately 80 nucleotides in length. Their secondary structure includes four short double-helical elements and three loops (D, anti-codon, and T loops). Further hydrogen bonds mediate the characteristic L-shaped molecular structure. tRNAs have two regions of fundamental functional importance: the anti-codon, which is responsible for specific mRNA codon recognition, and the 3' end, to which the tRNAs corresponding amino acid is attached (by aminoacyl-tRNA synthetases). tRNAs cope with the degeneracy of the genetic code in two manners: having more than one tRNA (with a specific anti-codon) for a particular amino acid; and 'wobble' base-pairing, i.e. permitting non-standard base-pairing at the 3rd anti-codon position. Lineage: Eukaryota; Metazoa; Chordata; Mammalia; Artiodactyla; Bovidae. The record is from Rfam by way of RNAcentral.